GAAUGCUGACAUAAGUAACGAUAAAGCGGGUGAAAAGCCCGCUCGCCGGAAGACCAAGGGUUCCUGUCCAACGUUAAUCGGGGCAGGGUGAGUCGACCCCUAAGGCGAGGCCGAAAGGCGUAGUCGAUGGGAAACAGGUUAAUAUUCCUGUACUUGGUGUUACUGCGAAGGGGGGACGGAGAAGGCUAUGUCGGCCGGGCGACGGUUGUCCCGGUUUAAGCGUGUAGGUGUGUGCUCCAGGCAAAUCCGGUGCACUUUAACACUGAGGCGUGAUGACGAGGCACUACGGUGCUGAAGUGACAGAUGCCCUGCUUCCAGGAAAAGCCUCUAAGCAUCAGGUAACACGAAAUCGUACCCCAAACCGACACAGGUGGUCAGGUAGAGAAUACCAAGGCGCUUGAGAGAACUCGGGUGAAGGAACUAGGCAAAAUGGUGCCGUAACUUCGGGAGAAGGCACGCUGAUAUGUAGGUGAAGUGAUUUACUCAUGGAGCUGAAAUCAGUCGAAGAUACCAGCUGGCUGCAACUGUUUAUUAAAAACACAGCACUGUGCAAACACGAAAGUGGACGUAUACGGUGUGACGCCUGCCCGGUGCCGGAAGGUUAAUUGAUGGGGUUAUCCCUCGGGAGAAGCUCUUGAUCGAAGCCCCGGUAAACGGCGGCCGUAACUAUAACGGUCCUAAGGUAGCGAAAUUCCUUGUCGGGUAAGUUCCGACCUGCACGAAUGGCGUAAUGAUGGCCAGGCUGUCUCCACCCGAGACUCAGUGAAAUUGAACUCGCUGUGAAGAUGCAGUGUACCCGCGGCAAGACGGAAAGACCCCGUGAACCUUUACUAUAGCUUGACACUGAACACUGGUCCUUGAUGUGUAGGAUAGGUGGGAGGCUUUGAAGUGUGGACGCCAGUCUGCAUGGAGCCGCCCUUGAAAUACCACCCUUUAAUGGCUGGUGUUCUAACGUGGGCCCGUAAUCCGGGUUGCGGACAGUGUCUGGUGGGUAGUUUGACUGGGGCGGUCUCCUCCUAAAGAGUAACGGAGGAGCACGAAGGUCAGCUAAUCCUGGUCGGACAUCAGGAGGUUAGUGCAAUGGCAUAAGCUGGCUUGACUGCGAGCGUGACGGCGCGAGCAGGUGCGAAAGCAGGUCAUAGUGAUCCGGUGGUUCUGAAUGGAAGGGCCAUCGCUCAACGGAUAAAAGGUACUCCGGGGAUAACAGGCUGAUACCGCCCAAGAGUUCAUAUCGACGGCGGUGUUUGGCACCUCGAUGUCGGCUCAUCACAUCCUGGGGCUGAAGUAGGUCCCAAGGGUAUGGCUGUUCGCCAUUUAAAGUGGUACGCGAGCUGGGUUUAGAACGUCGUGAGACAGUUCGGUCCCUAUCUGCCGUGGGCGCUGGAGAACUGAGGGGGGCUGCUCCUAGUACGAGAGGACCGGAGUGGACGCAUCACUGGUGUUCGGGUUGUCAUGCCAAUGGCACUGCCCGGUAGCUAAAUGCGGAAGAGAUAAGUGCUGAAAGCAUCUAAGCACGAAACUUGCCCCGAGAUGAGUUCUCCCUGACUCCUUGAGAGUCCUGAAGGAACGUUGAAGACGACGACGUUGAUAGGCCGGGUGUGUAAGCGCAGCGAUGCGUUGAGCUAACCGGUACUAAUGAACCGUGAG
RNAcentral lists this ribosomal RNA (1647 nucleotides) under Citrobacter koseri. RNAcentral describes it as "partial 23S ribosomal RNA". It matches the Rfam family "Bacterial large subunit ribosomal RNA", at positions 1292 to 2915 of the family's 2925-position model. The record is from RNAcentral. Lineage: Bacteria; Pseudomonadati; Pseudomonadota; Gammaproteobacteria; Enterobacterales; Enterobacteriaceae.